UCUAUACAUAUAUUGAUUAACAUAAUGGAUCAAAUGCGUGUGUAUUUUUGUUGAAAUCUUAUUGAGAUGAAUACAGAACAACAUUUUUAGAAAGGUUCGUUUGAAAGUCAGAGUUUCAAAGACAGAAGGAGUGAGAGAGAGAGAGAGAGAGAGAUCUUCCAUUCACUGGUUCACUCUCCAGAUAGCCACAAUGGCCAGGGCUGGGCCAGGCCAAAGUCAGGAGGCAUGAGCUGCAUUCAGGUUUCCCAUGUAGGUGGCAGGAGCCCAAAGACUUGGAUCUUAUUCGGCUGCUUUUCCCAGGCCAUUAGCAAGGAGCUGCACUGGAAGAGGAGCAGUCAGGAAAUGAACUGAAAUCAUUAUGGCAUGCUGGCAUCACAGACAACAGCUCUACCCACUACACAACAACACUAGCCAUAAGAACAACAUUUUAAUAAUGUAUUUUCCAAUAAUCACAAUACUUUGUUUUUCUCAGAGUCAUUUCUAGAUACUUCUACUUAUUACUUUUAGCAAGCACAUUUCUCCAGCAAACAGAAAUACUGAAGUUAUUCAUUUUGCUAUUAGUAUUACGAUCAGUGUUAUUGCUGAUUAUAAUCAUUUCAAUAUCAUUAUUUCUAGGAAAUCUUUGAAUACUAAACUGAUACUAACCACAUUAUGAAAUGGUAUUUCCUAUAAAGUGUUCUGUUCUCAUUUUUGUGAGUUACCACCUACUGCUCUCUAUUUGGUAUUUAAGGAAACUUGUGCUUCUGAUUUAUUUACAUACUUCUAUCACACCUGUUUUAAAAUUUAAGUUUCCCUUUGUUCUACAGGACUGCUUUUUGAUAUGGCUACCACACAGAUAGUGAUAAAUGUAUGCUUUCCAAAGGGUCAGACCCUGUUUUAGGAGCGAUUAAAUACCAUAUUUAUAGGAACAACAGAACAAGUUGAAAAGAGCUUGAGUCUUUCAUAAAGUUUUGGAAAUAAUUCUUCUAUCAACUCUAGUCUUUACUUUUUAAAGUAAAUCAUGGCUAAUUUCCUCUUAUGUGACGAUUUUUGUUGGAAAACAUGAGUGGGAGUUGGAAACUCAGGUCUAACCUACUUAAAUCAGAGGGAGCAUUAGUGCAAAUAUUCUUAAGCAAGCAUUCAUUGUCUAAUCAAACGAAACUGGCUUACUCAAUGUUCAGUAGCAUGUCUUUCCAAAUCCUGGCUCAGGCUCCUGACUAAUGUGGGCUGCUCACUCUGAUCCCAGUGGGGCUACAGAAAUCUCCUAUUUCCUUUCAUUUUCAGGUAUGCAGCUGCAUCUCUAAGCCAUGACUACAUUGCUAAAUGAAUCACUGAUUUGGAAAAUCUGAAGUGACCUUCAACUUGUUCACAAGCUCUUUCUCAACAGAAUCAGCAAAAUAUUAGAAAGAGGUGCUUUACCUAGAGGUAUUUGCAGCAGGUAGAAGGUUGGAGGCCACUCCGGGAUGUGUGAGGUGGGGGCCAUUAUGUUCUAUAUUUAGAAGUGACCAUUUUGAAUAUGAUUCCAAAGACAAAAUCUGCUUCUUAUAAUACAGAAGAAAACACUGCCCCUGGCAUCUCACCUGCUAACAGAUAUGCUACUCAGAAAGCAUGAAAUUCUUCAUGGCAGUGACUUGGACUAGUUCUGAGUACUUAUUUAGUGAGCACUGUGCUAGUCUUUCUUAAUAGCUGUUACUGUGAAAGGUUAUAUGUUUAAACAUUUUAUUUUCAUUAUUCUUCUUAACUUCACCAACCUUAUUCGUUAUUGUCAUGGGGAAUGUUUUAUCAAUUUUUGCAGAAAGAGUCCCAGUCCUGAGGAGGAACACAGCAUCUCUUCAACACUGACUGCUCCUCUUAAUAUGUGGUCUACCUAAAAAUAUAAAUACUCAAUAAAAUGUAUAGUUUGCCCCAAUGCUCAAUAAAAUUGAUGUAAUGGAAUAUCUACAUAUCAUAUUCACUGAGCUGCUAAUUGGCUUUACUGGAAAAGUCUUUUACCAAUAUAAUCCAGUUAAACUCAUUCUCCUGUCUGCAGAAUCCUCUUCCCCUUAGGUACUGAGUGUUUCCAAAGGUGUUUCUAUUUGAAGCAGGUAUGGGAAGAGCAAUUCACAAAAAACAUCAUUCCUUAAGUGUAGAUGAUUAAUAAGUCUCAACACUUCUGAAACUGAAAGAAUUUGCAAUUCACUAUGCCAAAGGUUUUCCAUUAUACUCCUAAAGCCAUAAUGCUGUAAUCUGAGUUUCCCUUUAGUUAAUCUACAGCCAAAGAAGUUACCUUGAUUAUUGUGCCAUUUCCCAUUCUUGCAGGCAUGGAAUCUUUGCAACUUCCCUAACUAAUAUGGCUCAUGUAUUAUUAACUCUGGUUACAGUCAAGGAAUCAGAGGCUCAGGUAGGUCUUGAACUAGAGCGGAGAGCAGCCUUCUGACUCAUGUGUUCAGUCACAUUUCAAACCCAGAAGCUGCCCCGUCUUUGCUGCAGUGAGGUUUGCACCAGGUUCUUCAUAAACUUCUGAAACCAAACUACACCGCCAGACCGGUGCUGCUUUUGCUCUCUCCUAGCUAUUGCCUAGCCAUCUUAUGAUGAGCCAGUUUGGCCCUCCCUCAUCCCUUUUUGUUGCUCAGGUGGGUGAACGUGAUGACUGUAAAAGGCAAGCAAUCAAUAUCUGGGGUUAGACUGAGCCCUGUAAGCCAAUCUUCAAGCCCGAGCAGAGCUCCCUGUGUCCUUUAGUGUAACCUUGGCACAAGAAAAGCGACUUCCAUUCCAUUUCACCAACGUUUCGGUCAAAGAUCAAUUGCCAUUGUAAUUAUAUCAUAUAUCACAGGACGGGGAAUCAGUGAGAGGGCAGGCCCUCUAAACUAAUACAUAUCAUUAGCAUUUAAAGAACACGCAAAACAAAUUGGACAUUAGUCCUUGUGUAACUCUUUUUUCUAGAGCAAAUAAUUUUCCAAAUUAAAAUGAAUAAAUUAAUGAAAUUGCCACAUGACUGAGAAUAAACCACAUUGGUAAUGUCAUCAAGCCUUGAGCAAAGUUUAGCUCAUUGUACUUCUCUGUCUGAUCAUUAUAACAUCUAAUCAAGGGGAGCUUAAAUACUUCAGUGAGCUCUCAAAAUAAAUUUGAUCUGAGCAGCUCAGGUCUCAUGGAUUCCUAGGGUUACUGACUAGGUGAAACAUGUUUUUGUUUUAAUCCCUGUCUCAGCUCAAAGAGGAUUAAUGCCCAUAAUUCUCCUAUCCCCAUUUAAUUGAGAAAUGAAGUUUGAAGAGGCACCUCUUGGAACACUCCACUUUGAAGUAUGACCCAUCCACUGUCUAUAUACUAAAUCUUCCUCUGCUCACACACGUUUAUAUACAUCUUUCCUAACCUGAAGCAGGAGAGCAGAGAAUUAUUGUCUCUGUGUAUGUGUGUGUGUGUGUGUGUGUGUGUGAUUCUCUAUUCAAAACACACAGCGUUGUUGCUUCCUCAUUUCCACAUUAGAAUUAUACUAAAGAAGGCAUUCAGUGGAGAGCUCAAACUGCACCUCGAAUCCUUCUCUGACAUUCUAGCAUCCCUAAUGCAACAAUAGCCCUUCCAUUAAAAGCAAUUCAAUUCUGGUGUUAAUGUUAUGAUUGUGAUUUUUACUUUUACAUUUCACAUACCAGUAAAGGCAAAUGCCUGAAGCAAAGAAAAAACUAAGAUAACAUGCCAUAAUUCCUCAGCUGCUGGACAGGCAUUUGUGAAAAAGGGACAAAAAGAAGUACAGGGGAACUUAAUGACAGUUUCACUUGUUCUGUAGAAAUUUAUGUGAGUAUUUAAUGAGGCAAUGGCUGUAUAGUCUUAAAACAGGUCUGGCUACAAACUAAGGUUCAAGCAAGUUCUGACUUUUAUUUUAUCAUCAUUUUUAUGAAGAAUGUUCACAUCUAUCUCCCAAAUCCUGAGGCUUCAGGAGGAACAUAAAUGACAAUCAAAACCUCAAUGUCUUUACUAAUCUAAUCUUAUUAUUUAUUUCAAUCAUAACCUACUGAUUAUGGAAGCCAACUCUAGUCCAGUAUGGGAUAAUACUACUACACCAGAGAGUUGAGAUCCUUGGGGAAUAUUUUGGAGGCUGGAUACUGUAAGUACCUAGUGGGAUUUCAAUGAAUGAAAAUAAACUCAUAAAUAACAAUUGAUUUAAAAAGUUGAAUAUUUAUGAAUCAAACAGCUGAGUAGAAACCACCCUGGUUAUUGAAUAGAUAGGGAAACCAAAAAAAUCACAGAGAUUUAAUGAUUGACUCAAGAGCUUGACUACAUAUCCUGCUAGCGUUUCCAUGACAUUUUUUCUAUUAGGUUAGGCUUGCCUGUAUAAUUGUUAAAAACUCACCUGCAUAUGUGCUGGCCAGAAGGUUUGCAGUAAUCACAAGUGUGAUUUUUGUCUUGGAAGCAUUUUUGCUACUUUCUAAAAAUCACAGUACUAGCUUUAUGACAUGGAUGGUAAAGUCACUGCCUGCGACACUGUCAUCCUAUAUGGGUUCUGGUUCAAGUCCCAGCUGCUUCACAUUCUACCCAGCUCCAUGCAAGUGAUCUGGGAAAAGCAGCAAAAUAUGGCCUAAGUGUUUAGGCUCUUGCUACCCACAUGGGAAGCCCAAAUGAAACUCCUGGCUUUGACCUGGUCCAGCACCAGGAGUGAACCAGAUGAUGGAAGAUCUUUUUAUCUGUGUCUCUCCCUCUCUCUGUAACUUUGACUUUCAAGGAUUUUCAUAUUCUUGCCACCCACCCACACACACACCCACACAUAUUUUUACAUACACCUGCUUAAUCAGGCACUCAUGCACUCCGUUUUCUGCUCUCUUUUACCAAUAGCAAACUAAAUUUGUUUCAUGGUCAAUGGGCCACAGAAAAAUAUUUCUUCAUGCAAGUUAAUAUAUGUAUUUAUAGAAACUUUGAAGCUUUCCUUCUUUUAUUCUAAAAUAGAUUAUGGAGGGUUGAAUGUUCAGGCUUCAUGCAAGAAAUUUCCUGUUUGGGAGACUUUUUCCACUAUUUCUGUCUGAAUUGGUUGCCAUUUGUAUGAGAAGAAAAUGAAUACUAAUGGAAAAGUCCAGAGUGAAUUUGGAAAAUCAUUAUCACUAUUCCGCUACAGGUUUGGGCCUUUGACAAAACACCUAUUCAAAGAUGGAAAAUCCACUAUUUCCCCUCUGCAUUGCUUUCUCUGAAUAGAGCCAGAUUGAAUAACCAGGCUUGAUAAAGGAUUCAGAGCAGUUGCUUUACUAGGUAAUAGUGAGCCCGUGUUCUAACCAAAGGGAAAGAAGCUGGCCUUCUGAAUAUUUAACUAUUCUGUUUUCCAUUGACAUAUUUGUGUUGCAGGAUUUAGGAGAGAGCAUGGUUUAAAAAAUAAAGCAAGAUAACCCAUACAUUUCACCAUCCCCACAAGAGUCUCCUCCUCCACUCUCACAAGGAUAUUCCAUGACUAAAUUUGUACACAGAGACACACAUUGGCACCCUUAGAGUUUUCUCUUGUUCAGUUUCCCUCUUGUGCCUUCAAUAUAGACUUUCCUUCUUUAUGCAUGUUCAAACUCUGCUGACCCUCCUUGAAGCCCCACCACAACUAGUAAUGAUUAUGUAAAUUCUUGCAAGUGCUUUUGACUUUCAAAAUGCUUUCACGUAAGGAGACUCAAUGAUCCUCAUCCAACUUUAAACAUUUAGUCCAGCAAGUAUUAUCUCUUGCUUUCAUCGAUGAGGAAAAGGAGACUUGAAGUGGUUCGAUUAGUAAAUAAAGUUACAGAGCUAAAAAAGAAGUGACACUGGAGUUGAUCCCUUCUUCAGUGAAACCCACUGCCGCAUCUCCAGCUACAGCUUGAAUGAGAUUUUCCUUGUCAGAGUGCUUUUGGUACUUGGAUUUCUUGUAUGGAAUGUAACUUUUAGGUACUAAAUUCCUGGUUACUUCCUGCAUGCAUACAAUUUACAUGUGAUCUAGAAAUAUACAAUUGCUUCAAUUUUUAACAUGGAUUUAUUGCUGUUAUUAAGUAUUAUCUGUCCUUACCAAAUAGAAUGGGCACAGUGAGAAGAGGAUUGGAAUUAACAGCAAAGAAUGCAUUAAACAUUGUACUCUUUUUUUCUGUUCCCAUAAAUCCAUGAGGUAGGAAAAACAGUAGUUUGAGAACUAGAGUUAUAAACUAUCUAUUCAUUCAUUCAAUUAAGACAGUCCAUACAUACUGUUUGAUUUUCCCUGUUUUGGGACCUGAAUUGCAAGUUACAAUGGCAUAAUCUUGACCUCUUAAAACUGGUUAGAGAAACUUCCACUCUUUGAAAUGGAAACAAACAUGUGAACCAAUGUGCAUAAGGGAACUGAAUUGUUGAUUUCUUCACUUUCAUUACAUUAGAAGUAAGCACAAAUUCUCUUUGACUCAUCCAAAUAUAGUACAAUCCCUCCUAUAGGACACACUGAAAUUGAGUAUCCAAAUUUGCCAGCUAAAUUGUAUGUACCUUAAACUGAACAUUUUCUGUCAACAUUUACAUAUGCAGUUUGGGGAGUCUGAAUUUUAAACUCUCUUUUUUUUUUCCUUUAGGCUGUAUCCAGAAUGGAAAAGACAAUACAGGUAACUUUUUCAAGUACCUUGGUAAUAAAACACUUCGGAAAACUUAGUGGUGAGCCUCCAACAGGAGAAGUUACAUAAAACAACAGCAACCAAAUGGAGAUCAACAGAGAAAACCAUUAAAGGUAGAGAAACUGAGAGAUCUUUCAUAUACUACUUCACUCCAUAAAUGCCUGCAACAACUUGGACUAUGCCAUGCCAGCACCUGGUUCCUGGAAUUCAGUCCAGCUCUUCCUUAUACUAUAUACCAUAAACCAGGGAGGAGGUAAAAUGUGAAGAGCAAUAGAUAUUAAGGAAGCUUUCCAAAGAGGUGAUGCCUUAAUUAUGCAUUUGAUAGUAAAAUAUAGACACAAGAGAAAAAGAAGAAAACAGAUUGGGGUAAAAUUAGAAGGAAUGAAUAAAGUAAUGUCUCCAUAAAGUACAUCAUUGCUCCGGUGAUAAACCAAAUUCUAGUCGAGAACCCUGUUGUCUAAUUCAGUCAUUACUAUUUAAUCUAGAAAAGUAGGUGAUUUAUUUUUUUUCAACGACUACUCCAUUGACAUAUGAUUCUGCUGUACAUUAAUGAGUAUCACAUAAAUGUCCUUCCUAACCUGCCUUUGUUGAUAUGGAAGUCAACACACCUUAUCCCUUUGAAGUCCAGCAAGUUGAAGCUCAGGGUUGACCUUGAGCAAGCUAUUGUCUGGAAUGUAAACCCUGUACCCAUGAAAGGACAGGAUUAUAGUACUCUACAGCUUCUAAAUCAGAGGCAGAGCUAACCUCAUUUUAUUUAAAUGAUAUCAAUAAGAAGAUAUGUGCACAUUAUGAUCCAAAUGAAUAUAUUGAUUUUUGUACAAAUUGAGUGUUUCACUAAUUUGCAUAGAUACAAUUGAAACAAUAAACUCGAUGAUAACAACAAAGUAGCUAAUUAACUUGAUGAUCAUUUAAUUUUACUUUUGAUAAUGCAUAUGUUUUUAUUUAGUCUAAUAGGAUGUAAAUUAUAACCAACUGGCUUUAAAUACUCUCUCAUUUGAAAAGUCUGCUCAAUGAAGGAGAACCACCAAAAUGUGAACUCCUCAUGCUCCUGCUGAUUCUAAGAAAUGACAAACUUGCAGCUCUGUAUUUGUCUGUGGCCUGAUCUUUGCAGCAAUGGUCAACUUACAAGAUGGGAAAUGCAUUUCUGUUUGUAUUUGCCUACACAAGACUCACUAAUAUUGUAUUCUAUCAAUUAAAGUUUUAAAAAAUCUGCUGAUCACUACAUUCAUUCACUCCUAUGCUAGACCAUUGUAAUAUACUAUUGAACAUAACAAACUUUUCAUUGGUGGCAGGGCCUCACAUCCUAGAAACACAGAUACUUACCUUUAUGGGAAACCUAGGGACUAAAAUUUUAUGACAUAUUAAGGAGCACACCCUAUUCUGUUAUGCAUAUAGCAUUGCAUUUAAUCUUAUUAUAUGAGGGAAACACAUGCAAACUAGGAGCUGGAUGUGAUUUUGGAUAUACUGUAUGAAGAAUAGGGUAUAGGUCACUAGAGCAAGAGAACUCAUAGAAAUUAAUUUCUACUG
This is a non-coding RNA of Oryctolagus cuniculus (rabbit), 8051 nucleotides long. The record is from RefSeq and is a predicted model, not a curated record. NCBI's taxonomy places the organism in Eukaryota, Metazoa, Chordata, Mammalia, Lagomorpha, Leporidae.